ACGGGUGAGGAAUACAUCGGAAUCUACCUUUUCGUGGGGGAUAACGUAGGGAAACUUACGCUAAUACCGCAUAAGACCUUCGGGUGAAAGUGGGGGACCUUCGGGCCUCACGCGGAUAGAUGAGCCGAUGUCGGAUUAGCUUGUUGGCGGGGUAAAAGCCCACCAAGGCGACGAUCCGUAGCUGGUCUGAGAGGAUGAUCAGCCACACUGGAACUGAGACACGGUCCAGACUCCUACGGGAGGCAGCAGUGGGGAAUAUUGGACAAUGGGCGCAAGCCUGAUCCAGCCAUACCGCGUGGGUGAAGAAGGCCUUCGGGUUGUAAAGCCCUUUUGUUGGGAAAGAAAUCCUGUUGGUUAAUAACCAGUAGGGAUGACGGUACCCAAAGAAUAAGCACCGGCUAACUUCGUGCCAGCAGCCGCGGUAAUACGAAGGGUGCAAGCGUUACUCGGAAUUACUGGGCGUAAAGCGUGCGUAGGUGGUUGUUUAAGUCUGCUGUGAAAGCCCUGGGCUCAACCUGGGAAUUGCAGUGGAUACUGGGCGACUAGAGUGUGGUAGAGGAUAGUGGAAUUUCCGGUGUA
Molecule: ribosomal RNA, 579 nt
Filed under: Pseudoxanthomonas sp. BvIRR108
Lineage: Bacteria; Pseudomonadati; Pseudomonadota; Gammaproteobacteria; Lysobacterales; Lysobacteraceae
Description: bacterial SSU rRNA
Rfam family: Bacterial small subunit ribosomal RNA
Source: RNAcentral